GUCCACGCCGUAAACGAUGAGUGCUAGGUGCUGUGGGUAUUGACCCCCGCGGUGCCGCAGCCAACGCGUUAAGCACUCCGCCUGGGGAGUACGGCCGCAAGGCUAAAACUCAAAGGAAUUGACGGGGGCCCGCACAAGCGGUGGAGCAUGUGGUUCAAUUCGACGCAACGCGCAGAACCUUACCUGGGUUAAAUCCACCAGAAUCUUCUAGAGAUAGAGGGGUGCCCUUCGGGGAACUGGUGAGAAGGUGCUGCAUGGCUGUCGU
This 265-nucleotide ribosomal RNA is filed under the name uncultured bacterium. RNAcentral describes it as "partial 16S ribosomal RNA". It matches the Rfam family "Bacterial small subunit ribosomal RNA", at positions 793 to 1055 of the family's 1533-position model. The record is from RNAcentral.